Molecule: long non-coding RNA, 9751 nt
Organism: Gasterosteus aculeatus aculeatus (three-spined stickleback)
Lineage: Eukaryota; Metazoa; Chordata; Actinopteri; Perciformes; Gasterosteidae
Source: Ensembl
UCAUAACUACCAUAACUAGCAUACCGUAUCAUAACUACCAUAUCAUAACUACCAUAACUAUCAUACCGUAUCAUAACUACCAUAUCAUAACUACCAUAACUAGCAUACCGUAUCAUAACUACCAUAUAAUAACUGCCAGAACUACAAUACUGUAUCAUAACUACCAUACCAUAUCAUAACUACCAUAUGUGUCAUAACUACCAUAUUGUAUCAUAACUACCAUAACUAUCAUACCUAUCAUAACUACCAUAUCAUAACUUCCAUAACAAAUACUGUAUCAUAACUACCAUAUCAUAACUACCAUAACUAUCAUACAGAUCAUAACUACCUUAUCAUAACUACCGUAACUACCAUACUGUAUCAUAACUACCAUAUCAUGUCAUAACUACCAUACUGUAUCAUAACUACCAUACCAUGUCAUACCUACCCUAACUAUAGGUCCCUGUUACGUGUCCGUACAGGAAAAACGUCUGUAUUUUGAUCCCAGUGCUUGUAGAAGACGUCCUCAAGGCUUUUUACGCAAUUGUUUACAUGGUAACAAUAAAUAAAUCGAUUUUUAUCUAUUUACUGGAAUUCAUGGUUAAAAAUGAAACAUGUCAACAACAUCACUGUGUUUUCACCUCCGCGUCCCUUCGGCCGAGUAGCUUGUUUACGUGCCAGUUCUGUUCAGACGGCUUAAGACACUGGAAGACAAUUCAACAUGGCAGCAUGAUAAUCAAACUGUGGAAUUCUUUCCUCGAAAAAGGCACCGUCUCCUCGGCAACGUGAAGCAAACACUGUCCGCUGUAACGCUUGUCUGAAGUCUGAGAGAAAAAAGCCUCCCCAGCAUCUCAAACACUGCGCGCAGCCGAGAGGGAGGACACGUUCUUCAGGGACAAUCUCAUUCUCUUAUUUCUAUUUUUUAUAUUUCAUAUGCUUUGUCUGUUUUCAAGAGGAAACAAAAACAGAUGGAACAAGAUUUUAUUUUCAGGCCGUACCACAAACAUUCAUGAUUGCUGCUAAUCAUCACAUGCACGGAAUGGUAACAUUGUGAGCCUAAUUUGUAGCAUGUGCGUGCAUAGAAUUUGAAUCUUCCCCAAAGCGAUUGAUAAUGAGAAUAAUUUGUGUGUAUAUAUAUAUAUAUUAGAACAAAAGGGCAGUUAAGAAAAUGUCCCUUGUUAUGAAGGAAGCUGUGUCAGUGUGUGGAAUCUGGUGUUGGUACCAAAGUCACAAAUGUAACCUUGUUUAAUGUGUUCCCCUCGCUGUGAAUGCUGAGCAGCAUCCCUGUUAGCAUUGCCAUGCGGGUACAAGUGUCCCACUAAUUUGCCUGCAGAGCCCAGGGGGAGGCUGAUUUCCUGGUGCCAUAUAGCACCGUCCAAAUUGGGUUAUUUUGAGAAAGCUAAGCAGGUUAUGAGAAGAUUAUUUAACACCUGGUAUCCCAGUUUGUCCCCCGGAGUCAAACGGUUUACUUUUGUCCCUUUUGUUUUUCUGUGUUUUUUCCUUCUUCUUCUUCUUCUUCUUUUCUCCACCCUCAGCUUUGUAGGCAGCUCAGUCGCAGCAUCUCCCACCAGAGUCAAGUCAAAAGGGAGCCCCCCCUCCCUCCCCCCCUCCCACACACACACACACACACACACACACAUGAAAAGGUUCCUCCCUCUUUGCCAAUCAGUGGCUGUGAGUCCUGGCAGCCAUCACUGUGUGUGAAACACAAAGGAAGGAGUCCACCUUAAUGCUGUCUCUGGGUGCCGGGAGAUGCAGACUGCUGCUGGUGGCAAACAGAGAACAGUGCCUUUGCUUUAAAGUCCUCAGUCGCUCUCUCUCUCUCCUUCAUAUGGAGGACGAUGAAACCUCAGAGGAAGAUCCGAGUCGAGUGCCUGGAUGACAAUGUGUUUCUCCCCUGCCAGGCACUGAGGGGUUACUGGGUGGAACUCAGCCAGUCGUACGCUCACAUCAAUUAAACCAUUUAGAUAAUGGACCGUGUGGCGCUGCUUGAUGUCCGUAUUUACUCAUAAAACCCUAACCGCGUCCAAUAUUGGAUAAAUCCAUAUGAAAUAAAUGAUCCAUUAAAGUGUUGCGCCAUAACAUGUGAACCAUAAGGUUAUUGAUAGGAGGUGCUUAAUGAAAGAACAUUUUUAAAUUGAUUUCAUCUAUUCAGCUCAGUUAAUUCAAUUCAGACGUUUUUUGUUUCGGUUUUCUGUCCAGAAUGUCUUUAUUUGUAACGCGGCUCGCAGCUGAACUCUCUCCAGACCGGUACACUACGAAGCAUGUCAUUUUGCUUUGAUACGGUCCGGCGAUUUUCAAAUCCUUUGUGAGGUGGAUUUAUUAGAUAGGUGUGAUUCAAUGGGUCCAUAUGAGUUUGGCUCAAGACAACUCUACGGCUGGAAAGAAAAAAUGAAAGAGUCGGAUGAUGAGAAAUAGCUUCUGUGCCUUGAAUUCAUAAGAAUAAAGAGGUGUGAGAGGCGAUGGUAUCUGCUGCUUCUUCUUACAGCUUAUUUGUAGAGGACUCGUAUGAUCACAUGACGUAUUCGGUGGGACACCUCCGGUUUGAAGAGCCAUGCAGGACGGAAACGGCAGUGAAACAUAUCUUAUCCAACUAAAAGAAAGGCUCAACUAAAUACAAUCGUAUGAUUCCAAGUGUACUCCAUAUGUAGAAUACUCCCAACAAGUGAAACUCAUCCAUACGGUUUGAGAGGCUUUGGAGAGAGCUUAAAGUAUAACUUUUAGUAAUAGUGACGGGAAGUUAAAGCAUGCACUUCUGCUGAUACUGAUUUAUUUUUAUGUGGGUGCCUCCUUCUCCAAAGGGGCGUGCCGGUCCUCACAAGGAACCCGAAAGCAGCCACUUAGCUGCUGUUAGCGUCGUCAACCAUCAACCAACCAGACGCUGCUGCUCUAAAUACACGGCGACAACCCACUGCUUUAACCACAAGCCAGGUUUAACUAGCCAGCUCAAGGUGUCCCUCAAAUAAAGACACACUGUCGUCUGUAGCCAUCCAAAGUUAGACGGCCUUCUUGCUCAUGUUGUACAACCGGAGAAAAUGAUGUAAUUGUUUACAUGAUUCAAACAUUUAAUCCUAUUUUCUUGCAUUAAGAUGAAGGAACAGUUCUAAUUAUAUUCACAAUAUGUCACAGUUGAAGACAACAAAAUCUACAAUAUGUUGAUAUUUAUAAUACCUUCAUUAGCAUCAAUAGCCAAAGUGACCUUUGGUUGGUGCCAUGGACAGUGUGUGGGUUUCUCCAUAUGGUCAGUUGUGAACCAUGUGGAGACUUUAACACAAACCACUCGCACUGUCCGGGAUCAUUAAUCCAUCUGCAUCUUAAUGACUGCAGCUACAGCGAUUUGAUCACGCAGGGUGUUUUUCUUCUUGUGUCACGGAUUUGGAAAAUGUAUCUCUGAUCGUUAUUUAAUGAAUAAAUAACAAUGUAUUCCUGUUGGAUGUUGUUUGGUCGGGAUCACUCAUGCAUUCAGUGACUUUUAUCAAAUGACAUUCCUGCUGUGUCUAAAGCCAUUAAACUGCAUGCGAUGGGUGAACAGAUUAUCAGGGUUGUUGUACAAUGUUUUCUUUUAAAACCGGUGACUAUUUUGUUAAAAAGGAUGACAUAAUUAUUAAGUUAUCCCAUUUCCCUCUCUCUCUGUUUGUAAAAUGCAUUAAAUAUACUUAAGUCACAUGUGUGUCAGUGUGCUGAAAACACAGCGCAUGCAGCAUUAAUUCCCAAGUUAGAUACUCUGAUUGGAAAUGUUUCAAGGUUUACAGCAAUGGAUUGUAAAUGUAAAUUAAAAACAGAUAUUUUGUUAUUUCGUCAUUGAUUUGAACGUUCAUGUCUUCAGCAUUACCUUCAGCUGUCCUCUUUCCAUCCAAUCGGUCAUUAGCGAUACAUCAACCUGCCACUGACCCGAGGACAAUACGACCGGUGACUCUAAGUGACACUUGAAGAAAUAACCCCUUAAAACGCUGAAGUGAGUACACAAUAUUGAGUCGUGCAGGAAGCCACUGCACUACAAUGACGCUGCAAAAACCAGCAGCGUGAGUCAGAAAGGAGGAGAAAACGUCCCUCAGGAAGGACUGAGACUCUUUCUUAUCAUAAGGUGAGUCUGAUCCAAGUAUCAUUUGUAGUGUAAAGUACACAAACACGUGGCGCUCUCAGCAAUGGCUCAUGGGCACGGUCGCCAUGACGUUGCCUCACUCGGGGAUGGAUGUUGACUUGUGUCAAGUCGGUUGAAGAUUCUCUGGUUAUUUUCAGGGUUUUUUUUUCUUUCAUCAUCUAGUUUCAUAUUAAUUUGUAAGAGUGACUUUUUAUGGCACAAAAAAAAAUGUAAAUUCUAAUCAGUUAAGUUUAGAUGACUUAAUGGUUCAUAUCCACACUGGUGAAAUGCUUUACAUAUCACGUUAUGUUCCCUUUUAUGUGCCAUAAGUGGUGUGUGAGCUGACGUGGAGCCACCGUGAUAACAAGGUCACGCUCCCCCAUCGUGCAGUGCAGCGAGGCGAUAUCUGACUCGCUUCCAGAUCUUCCCAGCUACGCCGACUACCAUCACAAAUUGGGAUUCUUAACCGCCGCAGAUGAAAACGAGGCAAAGAUUCUUUUUGAAAGCCUGUUCUGCAUAUGACUGUUUAAUGACGAGCUUCCAUCCACAACCACAACUGAGGAAUUAUUGGCUUUGUAUAGUCAUUUCAACGCUAAUGUGUCCUAAUGACAUCUCUAUGGCUCCUGCUUAAGACUCUAAUGGGCAGUAACGGAUCUCAAGAUGUGGCGUGUUCUAUUAAAUUAAUUAUUGAUCGCCGCCUCAUACGCAAUUGAUGUCUUAGUUCUCGGAUACCUUGUUAUUGAUGAUUUUCACCGAGGCCGUAAAGCGCGUCUGAGGCCUCAGCGCGCGCACACACACACGCACACACACCGAGCCUGCAGGCACCGUCAGCUGCAGUGAUGCAAUUUGUGGUUCGCAUUGAAGCAAAGAUCAGAGUUUCGUUUACAGUGACCGGCCGCGGCGCCGACGCGCGCGGAUAAUGGGCUCGUCUUGCUGUGUUGGAUGGUGGGCGUCAUCGACUACGCUCUCAUUGAGCAAGGAACCGUGGAUGUGCAGGAAGGCGUGAGACACAAAGACGCCGAAAUUGCAGAUGAAGGGACGGCGUGAAUUAAUAUGUGUCUUUAAAUUCUUUAUUUUCCUCCGUCUCUAGCUUCGGCAUCUCGCUCAUGAAACGCAUGUUUGUGUUGGCUGCCAGACGGCAAUAUUCAAACCGCUGGCUUGUGCCGUUGUGUCUUUGUCUCGUGCGUCGUGCAUAACCCAAAACCGCCGCUACGCUCUCCAGACUGAUGAUCGUAGCUCUAAAGCCGUGAAGAUAAUGUAUCCGUCCUGGCAGGCACUCGUCUCAUCGCUCGCUUUUCAAAUGAACACUUUAUGGGCUUCUUAGCUUUGGCACCGCUGUCCUCAUCUGUCUUUCUAUACCGAUUCUUUUUUUCUUCCUUCUUUUCUUUUAUGGAAUAAUCUCCACGCUGACGGAGACAACAAAAGAUCCAAACGUUGUUUCUUUUAAAGCCUGUGAGAGCAGUUGUCUACUGAGCUGCCAGCCGUUUGGACAAAAAAACAGUUUGACCAAUAAGACGAGAUCAAAAUGUGACGGUUAGUUUAGUAAACUGUUUCAGAAGCAUCUCGGCUUCGACCUCGCACUGCACACCGGCGUUCCGACUGUGCACUUGUUUACCCGCCCGGCCAACGGGGCGAGGGAGGCGGCCCCCUCGCUGCUUUGGGUCGAGGACCCAAAGAUACUUGUGUAACGAUAACAAAGGGAGAGAGGAAUUCAUAGUCUGUUGCAACACUUUAAAUGUGGUGGAAAUAUGCUAAAGAAUUCCAUUCAGACUCCCCUUCCGCGUGGGAGUUAUUAAGGUGUUAUUAUACCCCGAGAUAUCCCAUAAAUACACCCUGAAAAGUAAUUUAACUCAGACUGUAGCGACCUCCAUUCAGGAAGACUUCAUCUGCUGCAGCAAUAGCUGGAUGUGUGUUUUUAUAUCUCUUCUGCCCAAAACACACAUGCAAAUGAGCCAAUGACUCCACGGCAAUAAGGCUCAAUGUGACACACCGAGAAAAAUCUCCUGAAAGACGGAGCUUGUAAAAAUGUCUCCGCGCGCCGGAGAGAGGAGACGUUCCUGCGCUUGAAUCUCCUCGCCGCGCCGAAUUGAGGGCAAAGGGUCGAAUGAAGAGAAGGCGUCGGCGGGAGACUGGCCCGCGGCGGCCACAGGGCUCGUUGGACAUCAUCCAGUCGCAGCGUGAAUCCGUUGUACAGCUGUUGGAGAGUCGCUGGGGCAACGUCUUAUGGGCGCAAAAUACCCGUCGAGCUCUUCAUCACAUCAAGUUUUGUCGACUGAAUUUAAGGAUUGAAGGGAGCACAGAAUCUCUUCAUCACCGCUCUGGCGUUGACCCUUGAAUUAUCAGCUGAUAAUUAACCGCCGCGUGUCACAGUGAUGAGACCCGAUUCACGGAUCCCCUUUUUCACAGACGUCUUAACAAACAAGAGGCCGCCCCAAACGCACUCGAAUUGAGGCCAUGCGAGCGAGUGGGCCACUACAAUGGAGUCAGCGGACAGGAAACAGCGCCCCCCCCCCGCCCAGUGGCCUCCUUUCUCCUCCACGCGGACAACAACGCGGCGACCCCGUCGCACAAUCAGCCGCGCAUUGAUCUCGGGGGCCGCCAGCGAUCAGUGGACGUCCCUCAAUAGUCGGCGACAACACAUUUGCUCUCGUUUGCUGAAAUGAUCCAGUUGUUGUGUGGCUGUGGCCGGGGGACAUAAAGGCUUAAUGACCAGAGCGUGAUGGAAUGUCAAGUGUUGAAAAAGCACAAAUAAAUCCAAAGGCUCUCGAGGGCCUCGUUGUUUUCCCUGCCGCUUUCUUUUCCUCGCUACACUUUUGCAUAUUUCAUUUCAGAGGGGAAUAAAAAGUAUCUCUCCGGAGCGCCGAGGCGCCAUUUGGCUUAAUGUGAUUGUUUUCAGGUCGCGAUAAAGAAGGUAAGCGCUUGUUUGCAUGUGUGUGUGUUAUCAACACAGGGAGAGAAUUAAAGGGAGCUAGAAGGGCCUGGCGGUCUCUCGUGGCGGCGGUGUUGCGGCUGCGCGAGGACCCGGGACUGACGGCAGGAUGGGGCCUGACGAAUGAGGGCCCGAUAAAUCCGCGCCGCCAACAGGAGGCAGAACAAUAUCUGCCGAAGCAGGAGGGGAGAUAUCCGCCUGCGGCCGGCGACAUCACGGGGAGCCGUAGAUCAAGGCUCCAUGUCGGCGCCAUCGCCGGGGCAAAGCACCGGCGCCGCCACCGCCGGUCCCCGCGGGUGAAGCAAUCCAAACGCAUCGAUCUAAUAUCACACUCAGAACUCAGAGGGCCGCGGCGUUGGAAUGAAAUUGAUUGAUUAUACACCAGUGACGGGGUUCAUGCACACACACACACGCACGCACAUCGAAGGCGGCACCUGGCGUGCGCGGGCCCUCGCCGUUGUCUCGCCUGCUUAGUUGUUCAUUCGAAGGUAGCGCGCAGGGGGCCGGGGGCCGGGGGGGGAAACCAGAAGGAACAUGGUUUCGCUGCUGCAGGCUAGAAAUGUUCUAUCGACCGCCAUCUUCCCAAAGUCCACCAAAGGCCAGGACGGCGCUUCGCACCGCAUCCCGGGCGCCAUUCUGCUUCUCUACCGACGCGGAGGCCUGGAUCUGCCAACACCCGCCGUCCAUGUGCGCGCGCCCGCCAGUGUAGUAAAUCUGCGACGGCGAGGGGGCGUCGGUAGAAGCGCCGCUUCACAGUCGAUAAAAGGUGGUUGUAAUAAGAGCAAUCUGCAGGCAUUUGCCGAGGAGAACAUCUUGGGAGUGCUCGGGGGGGUCGCACCUGCACUGUGGAGUUAAUAUUUCAAAAUAGAACUCAGACAACAAUGUGCACACAUUCCGAGUCACUGCACCCUGAGCGCCAACACGUAAAUGUUCAUUAUUCAAUUCAUCUUCGUAUUCCUGUUUAUUUGUUUAUUUUUAAUCUGCUUGGGUUUAUGUCAAAGACAUAAACUGGCAGAUGAAACUUAACGUCGUUUCCCAUCCUACUUAAUUAGCUUUGCAGAUAACUUUGGCCUGUUUGCAUUUCCUUGCUUUACUAUUUUUAUCUGUUUGUCAGCUGGCUAAAAUAUGCAAAUGGAAUGAGUAUUUUCAGCAAUUAUUUCACACAUCCUCGCCGGACCAUAUGCCAAGUAAAUGAUGAAAAUAUGCCUGUCGCACAAUAGUCCUUCCAAUCACCGCUCACUCAGUCACCGUCAAUGGCGAUAAUCCUCAAAGCAGAUUCUCCUUUAAUUUCCCAUAAAAUACAUUUGCAUUUGCUUGCAUUGUUUAUCCGCCCUGCGUGUCUAUAAAUGGCACACGACCGGCUGUAUGUUUCGGGGCGGGGAUGUGGAGGGAGCCUUUAUGUCCUGGGCUCUCUUGGAUUGCCAGCUUUCCUUCGGGGAUAAUCCAUGUGAAAUUGAAGUACAGUGCUGGAAUAUCAAUGGUGUGUUUCUUUUUGUCCUACUUCCGCUGAGGCAUCAGAGGGAAAGGAGAGAGAGACAGGACUUUACUGCUUGGAGGAAACGAACCAGUUGGAGCAGUCUGAACAUCAAUACGACAAUCGGGCGAGCUUGAGGAGGAGUAAUAGCGGUGUUUAAAAGCCCAACCACUGCACCCGGUGGUCCCAUGCUGCACCUGUAAAGCUACUCGUCGCUCGGGUGCAACAUAGAGGAGCGGUUUGGUUGCUGGGAUCGUCCGGCGGAGACUCUGCCGAAAAGAUCGAUGAGACUCUCAAACACGUCCGUUAAAUGUACAAAAUAUCUCACUAAUUCCUUUCGAUGCUGUUCAAUGCGCCUCCGGACAUACGUCCCGCUCGGCUGCACUGUAGUUAAAAAAAGCAUUAAGAUGAAAGCCCUUUAUUCAUUUUUUAGAUGUUGAUUCACCGACUACAUCGGCGCCGAGAACAGAUCAAAGCAACAGCAAGUUUUAAGUGAUGAUUCACGCCGCUAAAGUAGAAAGAAAAGGAACUUUUAGGGAGUAUAUUUGCAAAACAAAUCACCUGGUGGUCCGACAAGUCUGUUCUGUAACAUCUCACCCGACGGCAGGAAACGCAUAAAACUGUCACGUUGCUUCUGGCUAACGCAGCACGCAGCUUCGCGUACUGCGAGAUACGGGAUGGGCGCCGGACAAGGUCACCUGGAAACGGGCGAGUGAAAAAUAAUGAACAAAAAGCCCAAGACGAGAGCGGCGGUGUUCUUCUAUCUUGUGCGAGGACCACCAACAGCAGAUUGUGCCUCGUGUCAUGGGGUGGGUCGUGUCCCGCGGUGCCGGAGGGGAAAUGGGAGGGCGGGUGAAGGCUAAAUGGCCGACGCCGCGCGCCUUUCACACCUAGAUUGACCGCCGCGUGACGCCUGAGCAGGUUGUUACCGCGGUGACACGCUCAUAAGAACACACUUCAUCUUCAUCCUUCCACGAGUGCCACAUGCAACAACUCCCUACCGGAGGUUCUUGGAGGCCCGCUUCAUUUUGAGGUCAAGUCCAAUCUGAGCGGCAGAACGGUGCGAGUGGCUGAUUCCGCCGACCUUGACUUGGCUUGAAAACACCGAUAAGCGUUUCAGAAUGAGCUCGCUGUUGACUUCUUACCCCGCGAGCCGCACAACUUAUCGCCUCGCCACAAAUAAAUGGUAACAAAUAAGAGAAAAUGAUUUAUUCUCCCCUCUGGUAGAAUAUUCUAGAAUACAUUAUGUACCUUUUUUGGUUUUGUUUCAAAGUGCCGUCCUCAGAGA